This 328-nucleotide long non-coding RNA is filed under the name Zonotrichia albicollis (white-throated sparrow). RNAcentral's name for it is "lncRNA (ENSZALG00000010793.1)". The record is from RNAcentral. Lineage: Eukaryota; Metazoa; Chordata; Aves; Passeriformes; Passerellidae.
UCCAUCCCAACAACGUUCAGACUGUGUGACACUGCCUGUGAUUCCAGAUUUCUAAAUUAUUCUCCCUGACACAUUUUCAAGAGCUUUUUUUGUGUCAGCAUUCACCAGUGAUGUGCUGUUGUAAAUACUUCACUCUAUUAAAAGCUUGCAGGUCUUCUCUUGAUCUUCAUUCCCAUGGGACAGUGAGCCAGAGGCAGCAAGAGGCAUUGAGUAUUGUCUUUGUGUUUCUUUAAUGUCAGGAGGGCAACUGGCUCCCAUGGUCAGGAUGAUCUCCAGUGGGAUUGAUAGUCUGCUUUACUUCAGAAGAAUUUACGAUCCUCUGCUGUCA